GACGAACCACCCAAACGUUAUUCGGAAUCACUGGGCUUAAAGCGUGCGUAGGCGGCCUUGAAAGUUAGGUGUGAAAUCCCACAGCUCAACCGUGGAACUGCGCUUAAAACUACAAGGCUAGAGGGAUAUAGAGGUGAGCAGAACAGAUGGUGGAGCGGUGAAAUGCGUUGAUAUCAUCUGGAAUACCGGAGGCGAAGGCGGCUCACUGGGUAUCUUCCGACGCUGAGGUACGAAAGCUAGGGGAGCGAACGGGAUUAGAUACCCCGGUAGUCCUAGCUGUAAACGAUGAGCACUAGAUCGAAGGACUGCACAGUCUUUCGGUCGUAGCGAAAGUGUUAAGUGCUCCGCCUGGGGAGUAUGGUCGCAAGGCUGAA
Molecule: ribosomal RNA, 374 nt
Filed under: uncultured bacterium
Lineage: Bacteria
Description: bacterial SSU rRNA
Rfam family: Bacterial small subunit ribosomal RNA
Source: RNAcentral